RNAcentral lists this ribosomal RNA (529 nucleotides) under uncultured bacterium. RNAcentral describes it as "partial 16S ribosomal RNA". It matches the Rfam family "Bacterial small subunit ribosomal RNA", at positions 355 to 873 of the family's 1533-position model. The record is from RNAcentral.
UGGGGAAUAUUGCACAAUGGGCGCAAGCCUGAUGCAGCCAUGCCGCGUGUGUGAAGAAGGCCUUCGGGUUGUAAAGCACUUUCAGCGAGGAGGAAGGUGGUGAGCUUAAUGCGCUCAUCAAUUGACGUUACUCGCAGAAGAAGCACCGGCUAACUCCGUGCCAGCAGCCGCGGUAAUACGGAGGGUGCAAGCGUUAAUCGGAAUUACUGGGCGUAAAGCGCACGCAGGCGGUUUGUUAAGUCAGAUGUGAAAUCCCCCGGGCUCAACCUGGGAACUGCAUUUGAAACUGGCAAGCUAGAGUCUCGUAGAGGGGGGUAGAAUUCCAGGUGUAGCGGUGAAAUGCGUAGAGAUCUGGAGGAAUACCGGUGGCGAAGGCGGCCCCCCUGGACGAAGACUGACGCUCAGGUGCGAAAGCGUGGGGCAGCAAACAGGAUUAGAUACCCUGGUGUCCACGCUGUAAACGAUGUCGAUUUGGAGGUUGUGCCCCUUGAGGCGUGGCUUCCGGAGCUAACGCGUUAAAUCGACCGCC